AGACAGAUGGUGCAAGCGUUAAUCGGAAUCACUGGGCGUAAGGCGCGCGUAGGUGGAUCAAGUAGUUGAGGGUGAAAUCCCGGGGCUCAACCUCGGAACUGCCUUCAAUACUGUUGAUCUUGAGACCGAGAGAGGUGAGUGGAAUUCCUAGUGUAGAGGUGAAAUUCGUAGAUAUUAGGAAGAACACCAGUGGCGAAGGCGGCUCACUGGCUCGGUACUGACGCUGAGGUGCGAAAGCGUGGGGAGCAAACAGGAUUAGAUACCCUAGUAGUCC
This 274-nucleotide ribosomal RNA is filed under the name uncultured bacterium. RNAcentral's name for it is "partial 16S ribosomal RNA". It matches the Rfam family "Bacterial small subunit ribosomal RNA", at positions 523 to 796 of the family's 1533-position model. The record is from RNAcentral.